GCCAAUUCUGCCCCCCAAAGAAUGACUGUAAAACAAAUGCCAUGUGCUACACAUCGAUUGAACAUUAGCUAGCAGGACGGAAGGCAAAGGCAGAUUAGCCACUCGUCAUCUGAUCCUCACAAGGCACCCUGAUCUUUUCCCGCUAAAUCUCAGUUUCCUUCUCCAGGGAAUGACGGGGAUCUGGGCCUGGUCGGGUGUCUGUAGUAUAUCCCUCCCGUCCAACUCAUUGAAGAAACACUCUUAGUCUAAUCUGAGAUGGGUGGACCGAAAACCCAGUGACAACGCUUGGGUCUGCAGCUGUCAUUUUCCGUUGAGCAAGAGAAAUGGCCCUGUAUUUACCAGAGAAGGUAGCUCAUCCACCAUGGCAGAAGAGGAAGAUCCAGACCUAUCCACCAUGGCAGACAAUGAAGUUCGAGGCCCCUCGGCCGCUGGAGAAUG
Oncorhynchus tshawytscha (Chinook salmon) is the source of this 438-nucleotide long non-coding RNA. NCBI's taxonomy places the organism in Eukaryota, Metazoa, Chordata, Actinopteri, Salmoniformes, Salmonidae. The record is from Ensembl.